Molecule: ribosomal RNA, 460 nt
Filed under: uncultured bacterium
Lineage: Bacteria
Description: partial 16S ribosomal RNA
Rfam family: Bacterial small subunit ribosomal RNA
Source: RNAcentral
CCUACGGGAGGCAGCAGUGAGGAAUCUUGGUCAAUGGGCGAGAGCCUGAACCAGCAAAGCCGCGUGAGGGAAGACGGCCCUCUGAGUUGUAAACCUCUUUUGUCGGAGAACAAAACCCGGGACGUGUCCCGGACUGCGUGUAUCCGAAGAAAAAGCAUCGGCUAACUCCGUGCCAGCAGCCGCGGUAAUACGGAGGAUGCGAGCGUUAUCCGGAUUUAUUGGGUUUAACGGGUGCGUAGGCGGGCGGAUAAGUUAGAGGUGAAAUCCCGAGGCUCAACCGCGGAAUUGCCUGGGAUACUGUUGGGCUUGAGAGUAGGUGAGGAAGGCGGAAUGUAUGGUGUAGCGGUGAAAUGCUUAGAGAUCAUACAGAACACCGAUUGCGAAGGCAGCUUACCAGUCUACUUCUGACGCUGAGGCACGAAAGCGUGGGGAGCAAACAGGAUUAGAUACCCGAGUAGUC